Molecule: ribosomal RNA, 207 nt
Filed under: uncultured bacterium
Lineage: Bacteria
Description: partial 16S ribosomal RNA
Rfam family: Bacterial small subunit ribosomal RNA
Source: RNAcentral
CGUGUAGGCGGUUUGGCAAGUCAGAUGUGAAAGCCCCGGGCUUAACCUGGGAACUGCAUUUGAUACUGGUAGGCUAGAGUAUGAUAGAGGGGGGUAGAAUUCCUGGUGUAGCGGUGAAAUGCGUAGAUAUCAGGAGGAAUACCAGUGGCGAAGGCGGCCCCCUGGAUCAAUACUGACGCUGAGGUACGAAAGCGUGGGUAGCGAACA